RNAcentral lists this long non-coding RNA (2678 nucleotides) under Equus caballus (horse). RNAcentral's name for it is "lncRNA (ENSECAG00000058760.1)". The record is from RNAcentral. Lineage: Eukaryota; Metazoa; Chordata; Mammalia; Perissodactyla; Equidae.
CUCCAUAAAAUAUCCCUAAACUAUGGAAUUUGGAGAGUUUCUGGGCUGGUGAACAGAUCCACGUGUGGGGAGGGUGGUGCACUCCAAUUCCACGGAGACAGAAGUUCCUGAGCUUGCGACCCUUCCAGACCUCGCCCUAGGGACCUCUUCAUCUGUAUCCUGCAUCACAUCCUUUAACAAACCGGUAAAUGGGAAGCCAGCUGCCUUGUUAGGUGGACACUGUGGAGAGGCCUCCAUGGCAAGGAAUGAGUGCUGCCCACACCAUGCGGCGAGCUUGGGAGUGGAUCCCGUUACAGACAGCUUGAUGCAUCCUCAUGAGAGACCCUGAGCCAGAGCCACGCAGCCUAGCUGCUCCUGGAUUCCUGAUCCAUGGAAACUGCAACUGGAAAGAGAAGCAAUGAGCCGUCGCCGAGACUGCGAAAAUAAAUUCAGAGCUCAUGUUCUGCUGACAUUGGAUUAGCAACUGCAAGGUCUCCUGGGGACACAGCAUGACGGAAGCUCAUCCAUCACCACCCCCAUGCCCUUGACUCUGCUCUCUGUCCACAAAGUGGACCCAUUACUGGAGACUUCUUAGGCCUUCAGGGCUUCACUGUAUCUCCUCCAUGAAGAGGAGCGUGGACAUUUGAUGUUUUAACCUGAGAAGUUCUUGCUGCCUCGUCUCACAGGUCACAAUGGGUUAUUUUUCUGAAAGGUGGUUUCCUACUUACAUGGGGCCUAAAAGGCUUUCUCCGAUCUUUCAGCUGUUGGCUCCAACUAAUGGGCCCGCCUAGCCGGAGAAGUUAUUGAGUAUCUGUGUAAUUAAGAACCUACUGGAUGUCAUGUGGAAUAAAGAGAAGGAAGUUUGUGACAAAGAAGACUGCGAAGGAGACCUCUCCUAAUCUAUCCGCCUCUCUCUUUAUUCAGAAUUUCAAAUGGGUCAAAAAUAAAGCCAGCUUGCUAAGGAUUGUAUUGACUAAAAGAACUAAAGGAACCGAUUUAUGUCUCAAAGAAAGCAGCAAUCUGUUGGCUGUCCCAGGAGAAAUGGCUGUGUGCGUGCUCCUGUGGGAACCGGGACUUCCUGAUACAUCUCCUGCUGUUGGGUGCACACCACCCUUGUAUCACCAAGUCCAGGGCCAAAGGGGCAUCUGGUCCCAUUUUAUUUUCAAGCCUUAAAGGACCCAGGGAGUGAGGCAGCUCUUCCAAACUACUUUUCCAAAGGGAGUUCUCGUUUGUUCUGCAUUGGCAACGUCACACUUAAAGGAAAGAAAAUCUCCAAAACACUCCGUCUGUCACUUCUGAAAGCCAGAUUCUCUAAACCGCUAAUUCACAAAGUUACCCAGAAAGCAGAGUUCAUUACUGGGUUACAGCUUUGAAUAUUCCAGCAAAAGAUGCAUCACAGUAUUGCAAAUGGACUGUACCUCAGCCAUCUCAGCUUGGAAACUUUUGACUCAAGAAGACCCUAUUUUUCAGAUUUCGCUUCAAGCAUAAACCCCCUUCUCUGUAGUGCGGAAUUCCCAUCAACAAGUAGAGCCAAGCACUGGUUCUGAGAUGCCUUUUCGUUCUUGAGCACAGAGAAUGCUCUGAACACUCUAAAGGGCGUGUGAACAUCUUCAGAAUGUUUGGGUAACAAUGGAAGAAAUAUUUGUAUGUAGGAUAGAGUAUUCCUGCAAGUUAUGGAGAUCAGGUGAAGCGGCCGAAAGAGGAAGUAGUUCAAUGUGUAUUUCCUGGGAGUUUGCCUCAGAUUGCCUGCCCAGAUUUUUUAGAACCAAACUGACAAAUAGAAGCACAAAACUGAAUUCCAAUUUUAGCACCUAUACUAAAAUAUCCACCUGUUCACAAGUUCGACAAUUGGUUGCAAUGUUAGGUGGAAUGUGCGUAUAAACACAUACACACAUUCUCCCACUAUACAUUUAAAGAUAUAUAAAUUCAAUCCUGCUUAAUUUUCCCUUACAAAACCUUGCAUAAAGUUGUUAUUCUAUUUAGCACUUUUAUUCUGAUUAUAAAAGAGAUACACGCUCUUCACAGAAAAUUUAGAAAAAUACAAAAGAGGAAAUUCAAAAUCACUAGUUAGCCCACUACAUGGAGAUAACCAUAGUUUAAUAAAUGCAUAGAUCAAAAGUGGGAAAUAAAACUACAUAUAAAUUAUAAUCUCAAUGAAGUAAUUUGCAUCUUGCUUUUCUUAACUUGAAGGUUAUAGCAUCAGCAUUUCUCCACACCAUUAAAAAUUUUAAAAAACCAAGAUGUCAGUCAAAGGCUGAAAUGUGCCUCAUUGUGGCAUGAUAGCUUUACUAAACUAACCAUUUUCUUAUAUAUGGAUACAUAAGUUAUAGCUAAUUUUUUGAUAUUGUGCAUAAUGCUGUGAUUAACAUACUUUCUGUCAAUUUUUUCUGUACCUCUGAUUAUUUUAUUAGACUGGAUCCUUAAAAAAGGGAUCAUUGAGUUAGAGAAUAUGCUGUGUUUUUAAGAAAAAUUUUCUCUUUCACAAGUCCUUGCAAAUUGGCAUGUAACAGGUACUCAUUAAAUAUUUGUUAACUGGGCGUGCAUAUUUUAAAGCGCUAGUCAUAGUGCCAAUCGCUCUCCAGACAGGUUGCGUUCAUUAACACCCCAGGCAAUACGAAAAUGAACUUCAUGCUGUGUUCAUCAGCAUUCAGCAUUACAACUGACUUUUUAUCUUUGACUAUCGAUAGGUGGAAAAUAAC